Bombus huntii is the source of this 1641-nucleotide RNA transcript. It is a transcript of the gene named adrenodoxin-like protein 2, mitochondrial, with no coding region annotated. The transcript has 5 exons. NCBI's taxonomy places the organism in Eukaryota, Metazoa, Arthropoda, Insecta, Hymenoptera, Apidae. The record is from RefSeq and is a predicted model, not a curated record.
GAAAUGGAAAGGGAAAAAUGAACAUGGAAGACAAGAAAGUUUUCUUCAUGUUUAGCGUAUGCGUGAUACGCUUUGAAUGUCUCAGAUAAAGAUAAAGAUACUCUGCUCAUUUCUAUUUGUUCCGCAGAACGAGAAAUUUGUUGUCUUUCAUAUUGGUUUUUACGAUUCAAUUUUUGGGCAGUUUUCCCUAGCGAGUGUCGGUCCCUGUUUGAUAUAACCAGACCGUAAUUUAUACAGAUAUGUAUUAUAGAUAUAUAUUUGUAAAACUGAAAUCAGAUGAAAUAAAUGUUGCCUGAGGUUUUAAACGUUUAAUAAAAACAAUAUUUCAUUUGGAAAAAAUGUAAGAUAUGUAAAAUUACACAUUGAUCAUUUUGCUGGUCUUGUAUCAUAAAACGUGUGGCCCGAAGAGCACGUGUCCGGUAGAGAUACGUCACUUGUGUUAGGAAUCGUUUUAUAACCUAUCACAGUAAAGGAACGUCCCAGUAUAGCAGCCGAAGAAUGCCGUGGAAGUUUUUGUACAAAGUACAAUUGAUCUACAAUUGAUAUUUUCCGCAAUACUUAUCUGGUGUUCGGUCAGGGUGUCCCAUACUCAUGAUAUUUAUAACAGUGGAAUGGCGUUAGUAAAUCAAUUACAAAAAUUUUCGAGAUCAAUUCUCGGUAUUGCAUCAAAUUAUUCAAAAUAUACAAGCAACACAACGUUGCCCUUUUUGCAGGCAACAAGAGGAAUAUCGACCACGCAACCACUUUCAGAAAAACAAGAGAGUAUAACAUCUAGAAAAAUAACAUAGUAUUAAUAGAAUAGUAUUAAUAAGAACAACAUUGACAGUGAACAACUAAAAAUAUAACACUGUUAUAAAUAUAUGAUAUACGAAUUUUAUUUAUGUAUUAUUAAGACAAGUAUAUCUUAUUUUUAAAUUAUUUCUAUUAUCAUAAGUGAUACAUAUAAUUAAGAGUAAAUAUAACGUUUGUUAAAGCAAGUGGAGAGAGAAUCAAAGCAAAAGGGAAAGUAGGAGAUACUAUAUUAGACAUAGUAGUAAAUAAUGAAAUUGAUUUAGGUGGAUAUGGUGCUUGUGAAGGAACAUUAACUUGUAGUACGUGCCGUUUAAUAUUUUCGAAAGAAGUUUAUGAUGCACUUCCUGACAAACCAACAGAUGAAGAAUUAGACAUGUUGGAUUUAGCAUAUGAAUUAACAGAUACGUUAUAAUCAGUAAUAUUAAUAAUCAGUAUCAAAUCAUUCACAUUAUUAAUUCUAUUACCUUUUAAUAUUUUAUAAAGUGAAUUUUUCUAUUUAAAUUUAUGUAAAAACAGGUCACGGCUAGGCUGUCAAAUAGUAAUGUCUAAGGAACUAGAUGGAAUUGAGGUAAGAGUUCCAUCAACAAUUAAUGAUGCAAGAGCAUAACUGAAAUUAUCUAUAGGUUUUUGAAAAUUUGUAUACAAUGUUAUACAUCUCUUGUUAAAAAACCCUUGUUAUAAUUAUUAAAAUAUUGGUAUUAAAAAAAUAUAAUAAAGAAUCUUGUGUUUAAAUGUGAAGCUUAUAUAUAUACAUAUGUUAUAGUAUAAUUGCAAUUUUGAUAUUUGUACAUUGCCAUUGUAAAAGGCCUAUCCAAUUAUGAAGAAAAUAUAUCUUUUAUUUUUAAUAUA